UGUCAUUGUAACAAAGCAAUGGUUUCUGAGCAUUUAUGGUUUCCGAGGAUUACGACGUCUUUGGAAGUGGGACUGGGGAUCAUUAUUUCACCUGCCACACACAGCAAGCACAAGUAAAUGGAAUCUGCGGAGAAAAUUAAGAACAGAGACGGACUUUCUUGCAUUAUUAACAUGAAGCAAUGAUGGUUCUAGUACGUGGUCAGCAUCUGUAGAACACAUUAUUUCAGAGAAUCCUCUCAACUGACAUUUUUACAAAGGAAGACAGAGAGGCUCAUUGUCAAGAAACCAACAGGCAAGUUGCAAACCCAUGACUGUGUUUUCAAAGCAAAUCCAUGAUCUUGCCUCCAAAGCUUCUGUGUGAAGCCACAGUGGGACACUGUCCCCCUAGAAUUCUGAGCUGACCCAUUUUACAGUGUGUGGAAAUCCUCUGUUAUGGAACACAAGAUUUUCAGGGUCCUUCAUAGCCCCACUGCUACCUCUGAAGGACGGAGGUCUCAAAUAACUGCAUUUUCUCAAGGUCUGGAUCCGCAGCGCCGGACCUACGUGUUGCUGGUCUAUGGAAAGUCUAAAAGGCUCAUGCGGAGCUGCUGGCAGAUGGAGCUGUGCACCAGCUGUUGGUGCUUCUGAAAAUGGGUGGUCUGGAGCAGUCUGUGGGGAAGACCCGCAUCGUGGAGGAUGAGAGUCAUCACGGCCUUCGCAGAGCACAGAAAGGACAGCAUGCCAUGUCCUUGGGCAUUUGUCCCUUCCAUGAGGACACUGUCAUUCCUUACGGUGAGGUUACCUCAUGAGCCACCAAGCAGUUCUGGCAAGGCUCACACCAUGACUCCAAUGUCCCAUCAAGGUCAGAUACGCUCUACUUGGCUGACUUCCUGUUGGCUUUGUGUUGGCAUCACUCUUCCCGUCUUUCACACACGCCUCCAUGUAUGGAACGUGGCCUGACAUCACUGUUGCCGAGUUUGAGAACGCUUCCAGGGAAGCUCGGAUUUGCUCUUACUUUCUCGUCCAAGAAAUACAUUAAAGUAUUGGGAAAAGAAUUCUAGCAACUCCACCACUAGUUGGCAACUUUUGCAUUUCUUAAGAAUAGUCUUCAACUUAGUUGGAAUCAUAUUUCUUGUGUGGGAAUGGAUUUAAGACAAAAAAAUAUAUUGAACAUUUGGGCAUGGGCCUUGAUUUUUCAACAUACAUCUUUCAUGUGUUAAGACUGAUGAUGCAUAUCCUCCUCCACCCCUGGGAUCUUCCUUUUCUUAAGCAUUAAAUUGCCCGCUCGGAUGUAUAAAGUAUCCACUACCUUGAAUGGAUGUGCUCAUUAGCAAUGGCAAAAUUUAUGGACAUACAUGGAGAAGGAAAGGAAGAGUAAAAUCCCAUUUUAUUUAGGUAUUUUAUGUUUACAAAAAGUAAAAAAAAUGAAGAUAAAGUGACUUUCUUUAAGUGACAAUUUAGGAAUGAAAGGCAUGCGUGCACUAAGUAGAAGAAGAAAAGCUGUCUUAUUCAUGGCUCUCCAGCAGAUGCUCCACACCAAUCGUUCUUAAGCCCUGCUAUCCACAAGCUCCUGAUUUCAAGCUCCAUGGUCAGCCUUUGCCCUUACACAGGCCUCUCUCACAUGCCUCCAUCCACCUCUAACCCAGUUCACCUUGUAGGCCAAUACCACCAAAUAGUUCUUUAAACCGGCCAACUCUAGUAACUGCUUAUAAGCUCUUGUGAUAUUUCCGUUCCCUACUUAGUGGUUCUCAAAGCAUAUUUACUGUGUCAGCAGCAACAGCAUCCCCUCUAUAGUUGCUAAGAGAUCAAGAAGAAGGGCGAUGAAUCA
This is a long non-coding RNA of Artibeus jamaicensis (Jamaican fruit-eating bat), 1807 nucleotides long. RefSeq lists it as uncharacterized. The record is from RefSeq and is a predicted model, not a curated record. Lineage: Eukaryota; Metazoa; Chordata; Mammalia; Chiroptera; Phyllostomidae. The transcript has 4 exons.